RNAcentral lists this long non-coding RNA (2057 nucleotides) under Homo sapiens (human). Its description in RNAcentral is "HSALNT0388014". Lineage: Eukaryota; Metazoa; Chordata; Mammalia; Primates; Hominidae. The record is from RNAcentral.
CUCAUACCCCAGAUGAGGGAGCUGACUCUCACUGUCGCCGGAAGUCCCACCUGCCAGAAGGCGUAGAACAACAUGGUUCUGCCUGGCACUGCGUGCUGAAGAAAUACCCCUGGAUCAUUAUCAUCCCCCUCAGAUGGCUCGCUGCAAGAUCUACCAUCAAAGGGAGGUCCGGCCACUGCACCCCGAGGAAAGGGCUGCUUUCGGCACUCUGCGUGGAGGUCCUGGCUUCUGCCGUCCCUGGAGGCUCCGUUCCCGUUUCGCCAGCUAUUUUGCUGCCUCGGCCAUCUGUUCCCUCCCUGUCAUCUCCUCUCUGCUUUAACCUUAACCACUACUUCACUGCAGAUGGUACCAGGCAGUUCUGCUCUCGACAUCCUUCACGACGCCUGGCCCUCCUUCUCAUCUCCAGCAAGUGAACCGCUCUGUCCUUUUUAAAGCCUCAUCCCAAAGACACGGCCAGAGCUUGGAGUUGGAUUCGCCCCACACAACUCCCCCUCUUUGAUGCCAUCUGCUUUCAACUCCACCACUGGCCAGGGGCAAACACCUACCCCUUCCCCUGCCUUUUCCUCCUGAGACUUCUUCUCAAACUCGGCCAAGAAGCUCUCCUGGCAUGGACAGCGUGUCUGCUCCGGGUCUCUACCUGGUCUCCAUCAACAGAGCCAUGUAACCGCCCAGAGGGCUCCAGGUCCGCAAGCUGAGGCGGAGGCCAGAAACUCUGAAGUUCACUCCUACUGUGGAGGAACGAGGGCUCGUGCUGGGAGUUUGGGUCAUGAACAGUUUCCCUGUAGAAAAUGGACCUGAACACUCUGCAGUAAGGAAUUGUUUCCCAUGCUGGCAUGGUGGGAACCGAACCAAAACACAUUUUCUAUGUUGUCUGAGCUCACAGGGAACAUCCCUCUGCUGUCCUUGCUGUUAUUCUGGCAUGCUGGUGAGAAAAUGCAUGCAUGGGCUUUACUUAGCAACUCGCUCUGCCUCUCCUCUCUGUCAGGGCGCUCCCCUAAAAUCUCUCCUCUUGACGUCUUUUUUCUGGCAUAAGGACCCGGAGCUUUGAGGAGCGCAGCAGCCCAGAAGCUCCUAAGGAGAGAAGCUGUUUUGGUGAGAUUGGUUCCACCAGGCUACAUGCCUUGACUGGGACAGAAAUGGGCUGGGAAGGCCGAAAUUUGACUUCUGCACCUGGAUUUGGGCUAAAAAGUCUCACAGCUCAGCCUCCUUGAUAAGGGUUCUUCUAUCUCCCCUCUAUACUUCCUCUGCAGCAGAAAAGAGUAUCUUGGCCGUGCAGGGAACGCUCUUCUCUCACUCUCGCCACUGGGGUUAAGGGCAGCUACAUUACUAUAGCUCCAAGUCUUGGUUGCCCCCAGAGAGAGGCAGAGAUGUAGCCUGCCCACAUCUGGACACUUGAAGACUCUCCAAACACCUAGAGGAGCUGUGGAUUCAAGUGAAGCAACCAUCUGAUGCCACCACGGUCCCUCCUUCCCUUUGCCUUCCCUUCUUCCCACAAAAGAGAAGCCCAAAUCCGCCACCAGACCAGCCCAUCUGCCCGUGGAAACCAAGGGAACCAAAUGCAUCGUACUGGGUUGCAGGCCUUAAUCUAGCUCUCGCUGAAUUAUUCAGGGAUGGCAUUAACUUAUAAAUGAGUGUGUUUGACUGAUUUUGUGGUUGAUGUACAGAUAAAGUCUAAUGAAAGACAGUUAUAAGAUUUUAAAUUAUUAAUUAGACUGCCACUUAACAAAGCCUAUUUGGCACUCUAUUUUCUUGCUUAACAAGACAAAAACUUUAAGGAAAGGUUCUGUAUUAGCCCAGAGGCUCUGGAUUUGCAUUCUGUUUUCAUAGCUCUACACAGGAAAGCCACGGGUCCCGACCUUAAGUAGAGGCCACUUCUGGCAAAGCAAACCCCCCAGCGGGCCGCCCUUCCUUCCUGGAUGUUGCCGGGUGGCUUGGGGCCUCGCUUGCCCUGCUGCCUCUCACCUCUUAACCAGAGGCUUGCUUUUAAUAUCCCUGGUUUUGCCGGCUAGGCCACGAGAUGGAGAAGCAGGGAGGGCAGCUGCUGAAGCCUUCAGCUA